AAUAGUAGCAAAGUUGGUCUAUGCGCCGGAUUGAAGCUCCGGAGAUACAGGUUCAAAUCCUGUCUGUUCC
Molecule: transfer RNA, 70 nt
Filed under: uncultured Aequorivita sp.
Lineage: Bacteria; Pseudomonadati; Bacteroidota; Flavobacteriia; Flavobacteriales; Flavobacteriaceae
Rfam family: tRNA
About the family: Transfer RNA (tRNA) molecules are approximately 80 nucleotides in length.
Source: RNAcentral